UACAGGGGGUGCAAGCGUUAAUCGGAAUUACUGGGCGUAAAGGGCGCGUAGGUUGCUGCGUAAGUGAAAUGUGAAAUCCCCGGGCUUAACCUGGGAACUGCAUUUUAGACUGCGUAGCUGGAGUGCGAUAGAGGGUAGUGGAAUUUCCGGUGUAGCGGUGAAAUGCGUAGAUAUCGGAAGGAACACCAGUGGCGAAGGCGGCUACCUGGAUCGACACUGACACUGAGGCGCGAGAGCGUGGGGAGCAAACGGG
RNAcentral lists this ribosomal RNA (253 nucleotides) under uncultured bacterium. RNAcentral's name for it is "partial 16S ribosomal RNA". It matches the Rfam family "Bacterial small subunit ribosomal RNA", at positions 524 to 776 of the family's 1533-position model. The record is from RNAcentral.